CUACGUGCCAGCAGCCGCGGUAAUACGGAAGGUUCGGGCGUUAUCCGGAUUUAUUGGGUUUAAAGGGAGCGUAGGCCGGAGAUUAAGUGUGUUGUGAAAUGUAGACGCUCAACGUCUGACUUGCAGCGCAUACUGGUUUCCUUGAGUACGCACAACGUUGGCGGAAUUCGUCGUGUAGCGGUGAAAUGCUUAGAUAUGACGAAGAACUCCGAUUGCGAAGGCAGCUGACGGGAGCGCAACUGACGCUGAAGCUCGAAGGUGCGGGUAUCGAACAGGAUUAGAUACCCUGGUAGUCCGCACAGUAAACGAUGGAUGCCCGCUGUUGGUACCUAGUAUCAGCGGCUAAGCGAAAGCAUUAAGCAUCCCACCUGGGGAGUACGCCGGCAACGGUGAAACUCAAAGGAAUUGACGGGGGCCCGCACAAGCGGAGGAACAUGUGGUUUAAUUCGAUGAUACGCGAGGAACCUUACCCGGGCUUGAAUUGCC
This 486-nucleotide ribosomal RNA is filed under the name uncultured bacterium. RNAcentral's name for it is "bacterial SSU rRNA". It matches the Rfam family "Bacterial small subunit ribosomal RNA", at positions 501 to 990 of the family's 1533-position model. The record is from RNAcentral.